UCCCUUUAUGUGAAAACAAGCUGCUAGCUGAUACACACCUCUCUUUCCUUUUUUUUUUUUUUUUUUAAUUUUCUUUUGAAAAAAUUUAAUGGGUAUAAUUAUUAAAUAUGUAUUAAUUUUCAUUGAAACUUAAAAAAACCAACUAAGAGGGGAGAAAAAACCUAAUCCACGACUUUAAGUUGUGGUGGUGAUGAUGCCAAACCCUAGCUAUGCCAUUAAUUUCCACUUCUUUGCUUUCUUCCUUCAGUGUCACACGUCCCUUUUCCACUUACAAAGAACCCAUUUUUUUACAAAAAUUCAAAAAAAAAAAUUAUGAGUAAAUAUAAAAUAAAUAAAUAAAAAAAGAGAUGCCCAUAUCACUUACUUUUCGUGAAUGAAAGGCAACCAUGAAUACUAACCACUUACUUACUCAAAG
Molecule: long non-coding RNA, 415 nt
Filed under: Manihot esculenta (cassava)
Lineage: Eukaryota; Viridiplantae; Streptophyta; Magnoliopsida; Malpighiales; Euphorbiaceae
Description: long non-coding RNA (MESC_LNC001989)
Source: RNAcentral